CGGCCCAGUGACAACACCUGCACACAACUGGACAGCUCCGAUUCAAGCUACUCCAGAAUCGAGGUGUACGACAAAACGGACUACAGUCUCCUGACCAAUGGGGACACGUCUGACGCCGCCUACACCUACUCCACAUGCGCACUGGCGGCCACCUGGAGGGAGGCUACAAUAGGGUCUGCUGGUAGACCUUACAGAUACGAGUGGAGCGCCGGAAUCAGUGGACAAACUGUUGGCUCAGGGCUGUUUGAUCUUGUCUAUGACCGUGUCUGGUACGAUGUAGGUCUGGAGACCAGCGCUGUUCUCACCCUUCCUGUGGGAACUGUACUGGAGGUUGGUGUGAGCUAUGUGUUCUAUGUGAGGGCCUGGUACACAGACAACGUCUACAGAGAGUUUCAGUCCAACGAUGUGAGAGCUGAUCAAACACCACCGAAAAUGUCAAGUUCGAGA
Long non-coding RNA from Branchiostoma floridae (Florida lancelet), 447 nucleotides. RefSeq lists it as uncharacterized. The record is from RefSeq and is a predicted model, not a curated record. The transcript has 4 exons. Lineage: Eukaryota; Metazoa; Chordata; Leptocardii; Amphioxiformes; Branchiostomatidae.